CAAUAGCGUAUAUUAAAGUUGUUGCGGUUAAAAAGCUCGUAGUUGGAUUUCUGCCGAGGACGACCGGUCCGCCCUCUGGGUGAGUAUCUGGCUCGGCCUGGGCAUCUUCUUGGAGAACGUAGCUGCACUUGACUGUGUGGUGCGGUAUCCAGGACUUUUACUUUGAGGAAAUUAGAGUGUUUCAAGCAGGCAUACGCCUUGAAUACAUUAGCAUGGAAUAAUAAUAUAGGACUUUGGUUCUAUUUUGUGGUUUCUAGAGCUAAAGUAAUGAUUAAUAGGGACACUUGGGGGCAUUCGUAUUAUCACGUCAGAGGUGGAAUUCUUGGAUUGUGUUACGACGAACUACUGCGAAAGCAUUUGCCAAGGAUGUUUUCAUUGAUCAAGAACGAAAGUAAGGGGAUCGAAGACGAUCAGAUACC
This 419-nucleotide ribosomal RNA is filed under the name uncultured eukaryote. RNAcentral describes it as "SSU rRNA". It matches the Rfam family "Eukaryotic small subunit ribosomal RNA", at positions 592 to 1016 of the family's 1831-position model. The record is from RNAcentral.